GUCCCCAUGGCCUAAUGGAUAAGGCGUCGCUCUCCGAAGGCGGAGAUUGCGGGUUCGAGUCCCGCUGGGGACU
Transfer RNA from Saprolegnia diclina VS20, 73 nucleotides. It matches the Rfam family "tRNA". From Rfam's summary of the family: Transfer RNA (tRNA) molecules are approximately 80 nucleotides in length. Their secondary structure includes four short double-helical elements and three loops (D, anti-codon, and T loops). The record is from Rfam. NCBI's taxonomy places the organism in Eukaryota, Oomycota, Saprolegniomycetes, Saprolegniales, Saprolegniaceae.